UCCCAGGUUGCUUAGUGGUAAAGAAUCUGCCUGCCAGUGCAGGAGACGCAGGUUCGAUCCCUGGGUUGGGAA
Molecule: transfer RNA, 72 nt
Filed under: Ovis aries (sheep)
Lineage: Eukaryota; Metazoa; Chordata; Mammalia; Artiodactyla; Bovidae
Rfam family: tRNA
About the family: Transfer RNA (tRNA) molecules are approximately 80 nucleotides in length. Their secondary structure includes four short double-helical elements and three loops (D, anti-codon, and T loops). Further hydrogen bonds mediate the characteristic L-shaped molecular structure. tRNAs have two regions of fundamental functional importance: the anti-codon, which is responsible for specific mRNA codon recognition, and the 3' end, to which the tRNAs corresponding amino acid is attached (by aminoacyl-tRNA synthetases). tRNAs cope with the degeneracy of the genetic code in two manners: having more than one tRNA (with a specific anti-codon) for a particular amino acid; and 'wobble' base-pairing, i.e. permitting non-standard base-pairing at the 3rd anti-codon position.
Source: Rfam by way of RNAcentral